GGCUAACGCUGGCGGCGUGUCUUAGCCAUGCAAGUCGAGCGGACUUAUGGGGUAACUUAUAAGUCAGCGGCGGACGGCGGAGUAACACGUAGCUAACCUACCCUCUGGACGGGGAUAACCUACCGAAAGGUGGGCUAAUACCCGAUGUAGUCAUCCUGUAUAGGGGUGAUGAAAGGUGGGCUUCUGUUUACAAGCUCAUGCUGGAGGAGGGGGCUGCGGCCUAUCAGGUAGUUGGUAGGGUAAUAGCCUACCAAGCCGAUGACGGGUAGCCGGCCUGAGAGGGUGACCGGCCCGAGGGGCACUGAGAUACGGGUCCCACUCCUACGGGAGGCAGCAGGCUAGAAAUUUGGGCAAUGGGGGAAACCCUGACGGAGCGACGCCGCGUGAGGGAAGAAGCCCUUCGGGGUGUAAACCUCUUUUCUCGGGGAAGAGUAGAGACGGUACCCGAGGAAUAAGCCCCGGCUAACUACGUG
RNAcentral lists this ribosomal RNA (473 nucleotides) under uncultured bacterium. RNAcentral describes it as "bacterial SSU rRNA". It matches the Rfam family "Bacterial small subunit ribosomal RNA", at positions 28 to 507 of the family's 1533-position model. The record is from RNAcentral.